UAGCACAAUGUGAAAAGAGCUC
RNAcentral lists this microRNA (22 nucleotides) under Rattus norvegicus (Norway rat). Its description in RNAcentral is "rno-miR-3590-3p". Lineage: Eukaryota; Metazoa; Chordata; Mammalia; Rodentia; Muridae. The record is from miRBase by way of RNAcentral.